AUCCUGGCUCAGGAUGAACGCUGGCGGCGUGCUUAACACAUGCAAGUCGAACGAUGAUCCCCNGCUUGCNUGGGGGAUUAGUGGCGAACGGGUGAGUAACACGUGAGUAACCUGCCCUUAACUNUGGGAUAAGCCUGGGAAACUGGGUCUAAUACCGGAUAUGACUCCUCAUCGCAUGGUGGGGGGUGGAAAGCUUUUGUGGUUUUGGAUGGACUCGCGGCCUAUCAGCUUGUUGGUGAGGUAAUGGCUCACCAAGGCGACGACGGGUAGCCGGCCUGAGAGGGUGACCGGCCACACUGGGACUGAGACACGGCCCAGACUCCUACGGGAGGCAGCAGUGGGGAAUAUUGCACAAUGGGCGGAAGCCUGAUGCAGCGACGCCGCGUGAGGGAUGACGGCCUUCGGGUUGUAAACCUCUUUCAGUAGGGAAGAAGCGAGAGUGACGGUACCUGCAGAAGAAGCGCCGGCUAACUACGUGCCAGCAGCCGCGGUAAUACGUAGGGCGCAAGCGUUAUCCGGAAUUAUUGGGCGUAAAGAGCUCGUAGGCGGUUUGUCGCGUCUGCCGUGAAAGUCCGGGGCUCAACUCCGGAUCUGCGGUGGGUACGGGCAGACUAGAGUGAUGUAGGGGAGACUGGAAUUCCUGGUGUAGCGGUGAAAUGCGCAGAUAUCAGGAGGAACACCGAUGGCGAAGGCAGGUCUCUGGGCAUUAACUGACGCUGAGGAGCGAAAGCAUGGGGAGCGAACAGGAUUAGAUACCCUGGUAGUCCAUGCCGUAAACGUUGGGCACUAGGUGUGGGGGACAUUCCACGUUUUCCGCGCCGUAGCUAACGCAUUAAGUGCCCCGCCUGGGGAGUACGGCCGCAAGGCUAAAACUCAAAGGAAUUGACGGGGGCCCGCACAAGCGGCGGAGCAUGCGGAUUAAUUCGAUGCAACGCGAAGAACCUUACCAAGGCUUGACAUGAACCGGUAAGACCUGGAAACAGGUCCCCCACUUGUGGCCGGUUUACAGGUGGUGCAUGGUUGUCGUCAGCUCGUGUCGUGAGAUGUUGGGUUAAGUCCCGCAACGAGCGCAACCCUCGUUCCAUGUUGCCAGCGCGUUAUGGCGGGGACUCAUGGGAGACUGCCGGGGUCAACUCGGAGGAAGGUGGGGACGACGUCAAAUCAUCAUGCCCCUUAUGUCUUGGGCUUCACGCAUGCUACAAUGGCCGGUACAAAGGGUUGCGAUACUGUGAGGUGGAGCUAAUCCCAAAAAGCCGGUCUCAGUUCGGAUUGGGGUCUGCAACUCGACCCCAUGAAGUCGGAGUCGCUAGUAAUCGCAGAUCAGCAACGCUGC
RNAcentral lists this ribosomal RNA (1333 nucleotides) under Arthrobacter sp. 'SMCC ZAT012'. RNAcentral's name for it is "bacterial SSU rRNA". It matches the Rfam family "Bacterial small subunit ribosomal RNA", at positions 16 to 1360 of the family's 1533-position model. The record is from RNAcentral. Lineage: Bacteria; Bacillati; Actinomycetota; Actinomycetes; Micrococcales; Micrococcaceae.